This 699-nucleotide ribosomal RNA is filed under the name Bacillus sp. (in: firmicutes). Its description in RNAcentral is "bacterial SSU rRNA". It matches the Rfam family "Bacterial small subunit ribosomal RNA", at positions 75 to 758 of the family's 1533-position model. The record is from RNAcentral. Lineage: Bacteria; Bacillati; Bacillota; Bacilli; Caryophanales; Bacillaceae.
GAAGCUUGCUUCUAUGACGUUAGCGGCGGACGGGUGAGUAACACGUGGGCAACCUGCCUGUAAGACUGGGAUAACUUCGGGAAACCGAAGCUAAUACCGGAUAGGAUCUUCUCCUUCAUGGGAGAUGAUUGAAAGAUGGUUUCGGCUAUCACUUACAGAUGGGCCCGCGGUGCAUUAGCUAGUUGGUGAGGUAACGGCUCACCAAGGCAACGAUGCAUAGCCGACCUGAGAGGGUGAUCGGCCACACUGGGACUGAGACACGGCCCAGACUCCUACGGGAGGCAGCAGUAGGGAAUCUUCCGCAAUGGACGAAAGUCUGACGGAGCAACGCCGCGUGAGUGAUGAAGGCUUUCGGGUCGUAAAACUCUGUUGUUAGGGAAGAACAAGUACAAGAGUAACUGCUUGUACCUUGACGGUACCUAACCAGAAAGCCACGGCUAACUACGUGCCAGCAGCCGCGGUAAUACGUAGGUGGCAAGCGUUAUCCGGAAUUAUUGGGCGUAAAGCGCGCGCAGGCGGUUUCUUAAGUCUGAUGUGAAAGCCCACGGCUCAACCGUGGAGGGUCAUUGGAAACUGGGGAACUUGAGUGCAGAAGAGAAAAGCGGAAUUCCACGUGUAGCGGUGAAAUGCGUAGAGAUGUGGAGGAACACCAGUGGCGAAGGCGGCUUUUUGGUCUGUAACUGACGCUGAGGCGCGAAA